UACGGAGGGGGCUAGCGUUGUUCGGAAUUACUGGGCGUAAAGCGCACGUAGGCGGCUUUGUAAGUUAGAGGUGAAAGCCCGGAGCUCAACUCCGGAAUUGCCUUUAAGACUGCAUCGCUAGAAUUGUGGAGAGGUAAGUGGAAUUCCGAGUGUAGAGGUGAAAUUCGUAGAUAUUCGGAAGAACACCAGUGGCGAAGGCGGCUCACUGGUCCGGUACUGACGCUGAGGUGCGAAAGCGUGGGGAGCAAACAGG
Molecule: ribosomal RNA, 253 nt
Filed under: uncultured bacterium
Lineage: Bacteria
Description: partial 16S ribosomal RNA
Rfam family: Bacterial small subunit ribosomal RNA
Source: RNAcentral